GACGAAUGCUGGCGGCGUGCUUAACACAUGCAAGUCGAACGGAAAGGCCUGCUUUCCCUUGUGGAUUGCGGGUACUCGAGUGGCGAACGGGUGAGUAACACGUGGGUGAUCUGCCCCCAACUUGGGUAUAAGCCUGGGAAACUGGGUCUAAUUCCCGAUAGGACUGCAGGGUGGUGCCUGUGGUGGAAAACGAUUUUCUAGUGGUUGGGGAUGAGCUCGCGGCCUAUCAGCUUGUUGGUGGGGUAAUGGCCUACCAAGGCGGCGACGGGUAGCCGGCCUGAGAGGGUGGACGGCCACAUUGGGACUGAGAUACGGCCCAGACUCCUACGGGAGGCAGCAGUGGGGAAUAUUGCACAAUGGGCGGAAGCCUGAUGCAGCGACGCCGCGUGGGGGAUGACGGCCUUCGGGUUGUAAACUCCUUUCGACCGCGAGGAAGCCACCUGGUUGGAAGGGUGGUGACGGUAGUGGUAGAAGAAGCACCGGCUAACUACGUG
Molecule: ribosomal RNA, 494 nt
Filed under: uncultured bacterium
Lineage: Bacteria
Description: partial 16S ribosomal RNA
Rfam family: Bacterial small subunit ribosomal RNA
Source: RNAcentral